This 231-nucleotide unclassified non-coding RNA is filed under the name Hevea brasiliensis (rubber tree). The record is from RNAcentral. Lineage: Eukaryota; Viridiplantae; Streptophyta; Magnoliopsida; Malpighiales; Euphorbiaceae.
UGGUCGCUUCGACCUUCUGAAAUGAGUUCCAGCGGUCGAUGCCGCCAUGGGCAUUGAUGAUGUUGGUCAGCAGGUCUUUCAUGGCUCGCUCCAUCGUCAAAAGGCUGGACCAAGACCUACGCGGCGGAGAACUCGGCCAAAAUGACGUAUCUGCCUCGAAUUAGGUCAUCAGAACCGACGGAUCAGAUUACCUCUAUUUCCGUCUUUCUUUGGCGCGACAAAAAAACUUUC